Molecule: ribosomal RNA, 314 nt
Filed under: uncultured eukaryote
Lineage: Eukaryota
Description: partial 18S ribosomal RNA
Rfam family: Eukaryotic small subunit ribosomal RNA
Source: RNAcentral
CCCUUAGAUGUUCUGGGCUGCACGCGCGCUACACUGAACAGUUCAACAAGUCUUAACCUUGGCCGAUAGGUCUGGGUAAUCUUUGAACGCUGUUCGUGAUUGGGAUAGACCUUUGCAAUUAUGGGUCUUCAACGAGGAAUUCCUAGUAAACGCAAGUCAUCAACUUGCAUUGAUUACGUCCCUGCCCUUUGUACACACCGCCCGUCGCACCUACCGAUUGAAUGGUCCGGUGAAGCCUCCGGAUUGGCGCGCACCUCGGUGCCGCCGAGAAGUUGGCUAAACCUUACCAUUUAGAGGAAGGUGAAGUCGUAACA